AUGACAGUAACCCUUCGUUCUCCGUCGAAAAAAGAAGCGAAAGUCUACCGCCACAAGUUUCGACAAAGUGGGUUAAACCAUAGGAAUUUGGAUCAACUCGAAACAUUAUCAAAGAAGCUUAAAUCCAAGAUAGUUAGGGCUGAGGCACCUUCACACUUCAUUGCUGCAACUAGGCUUCUUGCCCGCGAGGGUAUAAAUGCAGAGCAACUUGUAAGGAAUAUGAAGUUAUUUGAGUUGAAGAACAGGACGGGGCGACUAUCUUUAUCACCAAUAGAACAAAACUGA
RNAcentral lists this long non-coding RNA (285 nucleotides) under Vicia faba (fava bean). The record is from RNAcentral. Lineage: Eukaryota; Viridiplantae; Streptophyta; Magnoliopsida; Fabales; Fabaceae.